ACAAGGGUAAGGGAGGAUUUCUCCCCCCUCUGAUGAGUUGUUAGUAAGUCGGGAAACUUAACAGUAACAACACAACCAGUAUGAUGACGAGCUUCAUCAUAACCCUUUCCUUAUACAAGGCCCCUUCUUCGGGAGGGGCUUU
RNAcentral lists this non-coding RNA (142 nucleotides) under Escherichia coli. RNAcentral describes it as "sRNA antisense regulator of toxic IbsE protein". The stretch from base 1 to 115 matches the Rfam family "Short Intergenic Abundant RNA", at positions 35 to 147 of the family's 147-position model. Rfam says of the family: This family contains multiple ncRNA from E. coli that were identified in a large scale screen of E. coli, were they were called candidates 43,55 and 61. These RNAs have also been identified by other groups and called QUAD RNAs. RNAcentral also lists the same sequence under 6 other names. Lineage: Bacteria; Pseudomonadati; Pseudomonadota; Gammaproteobacteria; Enterobacterales; Enterobacteriaceae. The record is from RNAcentral.